GCAGCCCCCUGGUAAUGGGAUCAGGGGGCAGCCUAUAUUGRUGYUGGUUUGUGUUUAUACUGGGGUCAGGGUUACCCUUGUUUCAUGAGUGUGUUAUUACUCUCGGYUCARGUGGCGUAGAUUAGGUUGGGCCCCCCUAUAUGCWACUUACUGCGUGUAUGAAUGGUGUAAUAAGUAAUACGAUUAGGGGCGUUUUAUCUCGGGCRCAGCCCGACUGUUUAUUAAAAACAUUUCCUCGCGUAGUUUGCGAGGUAUAACCUGCCCGGUGGGUUUAACGGCCGCAGUAUAUUGACUGUGCGAAGGUAGCAUAAUUAAUUGCCCCGUAAUUGGGGGCUUGUUUGAAUGGUUUAACGAGGUUGGRAGCCWAAAUCGYCCCUGUGGUUGAAAUUAAUAUUACGAGUGCGGAAUCUGURWGAUUUAGUUAGACGGAAAGACCCCGGGAUCUUUAGUUUUGUCUGGGGCGGACGGGGCUGUUUCAGCCGCUUUGGGACCCUAAGUUURGAGGUUUAAGUUACCCCGGGGAUAACAGAGUAAUGGUUUACUAGAGAUCUUAUCGACUAGACCGAUUGCUACCUCGAUGUUGACUUGGGUUUGUUUGUUGGCGCAGCCGUYUAUAAA
RNAcentral lists this ribosomal RNA (618 nucleotides) under Promonobothrium ingens. Its description in RNAcentral is "partial large subunit ribosomal RNA". Lineage: Eukaryota; Metazoa; Platyhelminthes; Cestoda; Caryophyllidea; Caryophyllaeidae. The record is from RNAcentral.